Molecule: small nucleolar RNA, 107 nt
Organism: Humulus lupulus (European hop)
Lineage: Eukaryota; Viridiplantae; Streptophyta; Magnoliopsida; Rosales; Cannabaceae
Source: RefSeq, a predicted model, not a curated record
UAUCUAUAAUGUGACACUGAUUUAACAAAUCUUUUAAACUCUCCCCAAACCUAAUAGAAAGUUUAACGGUCUUUCUGGUUGAAGAUAGACAUUUGUCUUUUAAGACU